UGGGGAAUUUUCCGCAAUGGGCGAAAGCCUGACGGAGUGACGCCGCGUGGGGGACGAAGGCCUUCGGGUCGUAAACCCCUGUCAGAGGGAAAGAAGGGGGUCGGCGUGAAUAGCGCCGGCCUUUGACGGUACCUUCAGAGGAAGCCCCGGCCAACUCUGUGCCAGCAGCCGCGGUAAGACAGAGGGGGCAAGCGUUGCCCGGAAUUACUGGGCGUAAAGGGCGCGUAGGCGGGAUGGCGAGUCGGUCGUGAAAUCCCUUGGCUCAACUGAAGGGAGUCGGCCGAUACAGCUGUUCUUGAGGGAUGCAGAGGAGACUGGAAUUCCCGGUGUAACGGUGAAAUGUGUAGAGGUCGGGAGGAACACCGGUGGCGAAGGCGGGUCUCUGGGCAUCUCCUGACGCUGAGGCGCGAAAGCGUGGGGAGCAAACGGG
Molecule: ribosomal RNA, 430 nt
Filed under: Bacillota bacterium
Lineage: Bacteria; Bacillati; Bacillota
Description: Firmicutes bacterium partial 16S ribosomal RNA
Rfam family: Bacterial small subunit ribosomal RNA
Source: RNAcentral